UACAGAGGUCUCAAGCGUUGUUCGGAUUCAUUGGGCGUAAAGGGCGCGUAGGUGGCGAGGUAAGUCGGAUGUGAAAGCUCGGAGCUCAACUCCGAAAUGGCAUUGGAAACUACCUUGCUCGAGGGUUGGAGGGGGGACUGGAAUGCUUGGUGUAGCAGUGAAAUGCGUAGAUAUCAAGCGGAACACCAGUGGCGAAGGCGAGUCCCUGGACAACUCCUGACACUGAGGCACGAAAGCUAGGGGAGCAAACAGG
RNAcentral lists this ribosomal RNA (253 nucleotides) under uncultured bacterium. RNAcentral describes it as "partial 16S ribosomal RNA". It matches the Rfam family "Bacterial small subunit ribosomal RNA", at positions 524 to 776 of the family's 1533-position model. The record is from RNAcentral.